Molecule: transfer RNA, 102 nt
Organism: Ceratocystis platani
Lineage: Eukaryota; Fungi; Ascomycota; Sordariomycetes; Microascales; Ceratocystidaceae
Rfam family: tRNA
About the family: Transfer RNA (tRNA) molecules are approximately 80 nucleotides in length. Their secondary structure includes four short double-helical elements and three loops (D, anti-codon, and T loops).
Source: Rfam
GGCAAGAUGGCCGAGCGGUCUAAGGCGCUGUGUUCAGGUUCCUCGAUCCCGAAGACCUUCGCAGUGGAGCAAUCCGCGCGAGUUCGAAUCUCGUUCUUGUCA